RNAcentral lists this RNase P RNA (350 nucleotides) under Acidihalobacter prosperus. RNAcentral's name for it is "RNase P RNA component class A". It matches the Rfam family "Bacterial RNase P class A". From Rfam's summary of the family: Ribonuclease P (RNase P) is a ubiquitous endoribonuclease, found in archaea, bacteria and eukarya as well as chloroplasts and mitochondria. Its best characterised activity is the generation of mature 5'-ends of tRNAs by cleaving the 5'-leader elements of precursor-tRNAs. RNAcentral also lists the same sequence under 1 other name. Lineage: Bacteria; Pseudomonadati; Pseudomonadota; Gammaproteobacteria; Chromatiales; Ectothiorhodospiraceae. The record is from RNAcentral.
GGAGUUGGCUAGGCAGUCGCUCCGCCAUCGGGCGGGGAGGAAAGUCCGGGCUCCGCAGGGCGGGAUGCCAGGUAACGCCUGGGCGGCGCGAGCCGACGGAAAGUGCCACAGAGAACAGACCGCCGAUGACCCUUCGGGGUGCAGGCAAGGGUGAAAAGGUGCGGUAAGAGCGCACCGCGCGGGUGGCAACAUGCCGCGGCACGGUAAACCCCAUCCGGAGCAAGACCAAAUAGGGACGCCAUGAUGUGGCCCGCAUCGCGUCCGGGUAGGUCGCAAGAGGCGCGCGGUGACGCGCGUCCCAGAUGAAUGGCUGCCCCAGACAGAACCCGGCUUAUAGGCCGACUCCCCAC